RNAcentral lists this ribosomal RNA (1032 nucleotides) under Triticum aestivum (bread wheat). RNAcentral describes it as "partial small subunit ribosomal RNA". The record is from RNAcentral. Lineage: Eukaryota; Viridiplantae; Streptophyta; Magnoliopsida; Poales; Poaceae.
AUGGCUCGUGCUGGUGUUCCCGUUCCUCCCGUUCCCGAUCCCGCCCAGUGCCAUCAUCCAAGUCUGGCUGCGCUUGCCGAGAGGGCUCGGCUUAUCCGCGGGACCGGUCCUGUGGAUGGAGCUGCUGUGGACUGGGUCUGCAACAACACCGCCGAGCAUAACGGUGGGGGCAAUGUGACGAAUCGCCCGAUCGACAACUUCCUACUGAAGUUGCCUGCUUUGUACUGCUCGGGAUGCAGAAAGCUGAACCCAGUAGGCUAUCGGUGGAAAAUUACGCAGUGCACCCUGGGAAGAAUCGGGCUUGAUUUCCUGAUUCGCAAUCAAGGCCCGCACAAUACGUGCGUGGCCCAUGCAAUUCUUUCCGGCAUGGAUCUCAUGUACAAGAUCCACACAGCAUAUCAGUCGCGAGCUUUUGUUGGCCGUCCCUUGAGUAUGCAAGAUUUCUUCAUGAAGUUUUCACACUUCUUCAAGGUAUCCUUUGGGUACGAGAGAAACCCUGCCUUGGAGAUUGACAGAGCGCUUUGUGUCAUCUAUAUAGCACAACAAUAUGGUGUGAGGCUGAGUGCCCCGUCCCUUACCACCUGGUUCGAGUGGCAACAGGAAUCAAAUGACAAAGUGAUGAUGGGCUCUUUCUUUCAUGUACCUUCAAACGACACGGAGCUCAUCAUCAGGUUAAUAGCCGGUGGAUACCCUCUCAUCUGUGGCGUGCCUAGUGGGAGGACGUUCAAAUUCACGAGUGCAGACGAGAUCUACGAUGGGGGCAGAGUUCCCACUAAUCAUUGUGUCCUCUUGAUAGGAUCGGGGGUGUUUAACUACCCUGGCAAUCCAGACGCGAUCCCUAGGCACACAUUGGGCACAUGGCCUUUGAACCGUGAUGGUAGACGGGGACCUCGUGUUUGCCUAGGAGCAAGGGGUUCAUGGGGGAGCCAAGUUCAUGGAAGUUCCUCUCAGGAAGGUGGAGGCGGAGAUUUCUAUAUCUGGGCUGACCAGAUCGAUAGAGUGAUGGGGUUCCACAUUGAAGGCAUGUACUAG